This 458-nucleotide ribosomal RNA is filed under the name uncultured bacterium. Its description in RNAcentral is "partial 16S ribosomal RNA". It matches the Rfam family "Bacterial small subunit ribosomal RNA", at positions 338 to 795 of the family's 1533-position model. The record is from RNAcentral.
CCUACGGGGGGCAGCAGUGAGGAAUAUUGGUCAAUGGGCGAGAGCCUGAACCAGCCAAGUCGCGUGAGGGAGUACUGCCCUAUGGGUUGUAAACCUCUUUUGUCGGGGAGCAAAAGCCGGACGUGUCCGGCUGUUAGAUUACCCGAAGAAAAAGCAUCGGCUAACUCCGUGCCAGCAGCCGCGGUAAUACGGAGGAUGCGAGCGUUAUCCGGAUUUAUUGGGUUUAAAGGGUGCGCAGGCGGAUUUUUAAGUCAGCGGUCAAAUCGUGGGGCUCAACCCAAUCCAGCCGUUGAAACUGGGGAUCUAGAGUGUGCGAGAGGUAUGCGGAAGGCGUGGUGUAGCGGUGAAAUGCAUAGAUAUCACGCAGAACCCCGAUUGCGAAGGCAGCAUACCGGUGCACAACUGACGCUCAGGCACGAAAGCGUGGGUAUCGAACAGGAUUAGAUACCCUUGUAGUC